GCGAGUGAAGAGGGAAGAGCCCAAGAUUGAAAGCUGGCGUCUUCGGCGUCCGCAUUGUAAUCUCAAGAAGUGUUUUCCGCUUCGGACCAAGCCUAAGUCCCCUGGAAAGGGGCAUCAUAGAGGGUGAUAAUCCCGUACAUGGCUUGGAGCGCCCGUAGCUUUGUGAUACACUUUCUAAGAGUCGAGUUGUUUGGGAAUGCAGCUCAAAAUGGGUGGUAAAUGCCAUCUAAGGCUAAAUAUUGGGGAGAGACCGAUAGCGAACAAGUACAGUGAUGGAAAGAUGAAAAGAACUUUGAAAAGAGAGUUAAACAGUACGUGAAAUUGCCAAAAGGGAAGGGUAGGAGGUCAGAGAUGCGGCCUAGGAUUCAGCCUUGCUUUUGCUUGGUGUUUUUCCUAGAUUGCAGGCCAACGUCGGUUUUGGGCACUGGAGAAGGGUGGAAGGAACGUGGCACCUCUCGGGGUGUGUUAUAGCCUUCUACUGGAUACAGCGACCGAGACCGAGGACAGCAGCGUACUCGCAAGAGCGGGCCUUCGGGCACCUUUACGCUUAGGGCGUUGGCAUAAUGGCCCUCUACCACCC
This 580-nucleotide ribosomal RNA is filed under the name Macalpinomyces spermophorus. Its description in RNAcentral is "partial 26S ribosomal RNA". It matches the Rfam family "Eukaryotic large subunit ribosomal RNA", at positions 89 to 650 of the family's 3401-position model. Lineage: Eukaryota; Fungi; Basidiomycota; Ustilaginomycetes; Ustilaginales; Ustilaginaceae. The record is from RNAcentral.